RNAcentral lists this ribosomal RNA (1008 nucleotides) under Triticum aestivum (bread wheat). Its description in RNAcentral is "partial small subunit ribosomal RNA". The record is from RNAcentral. Lineage: Eukaryota; Viridiplantae; Streptophyta; Magnoliopsida; Poales; Poaceae.
AUGGGCGGCGCCGCCAGGUGGAUCCAGCGGCUGAGCGCGGCGAGGAUCUCGACGGAGGCGCUGGAGCGGGGCCAGAGCCGCGUCAUCGACGCCUCUCUCACCCUCAUCCGCGAGCGCGCCAAGCUCAAGGGAGAGUUGCUGCGUGCUAUGGGUGGUGUGAAAGCUUCUGCGACCCUCUUAGGAGUACCCCUCGGGCACAACUCAUCUUUCUUGCAGGGGCCUGCAUUUGCUCCUCCUCGCAUAAGGGAGGCCAUUUGGUGUGGAAGCACCAACUCUAGCACAGAAGAAGGCAAGGAAUUAAAUGAUCCAAGAGUGCUAACUGAUGUUGGUGAUGUCCCCAUACAAGAGAUCCGUGACUGUGGUGUUGAAGAUGACAGAUUGAUGCAUGUAAUCAGCGAGUCUGUCAAAACAGUGAUGGACGAAGUAAGAUCCUCUUCGGCCGUUGUCUUAGGAGGCGAUCACUCGAUAUCUUAUCCAGUUGUUAGGGCUGUGUCUGAAAAGCUUGGCGGACCUGUUGACAUUCUUCAUCUUGACGCACAUCCAGAUAUCUAUGACUGUUUUGAAGGGAACACUUACUCACAUGCUUCUUCAUUUGCAAGAAUAAUGGAAGGAGGUUAUGCGAGGCGACUUUUGCAGGUUGGACUUAGAUCAAUUACCAAAGAAGGACGCGAGCAAGGGAAGAGAUUUGGUGUGGAACAGUAUGAGAUGCGCACGUUCUCCAGGGAUCGGGAGAAGCUUGAGAGUCUGAAACUUGGGGAAGGUGUGAAGGGGGUGUAUGUCUCCGUCGACGUGGACUGCCUCGACCCUGCAUUCGCUCCUGGCGUAUCUCAUAUCGAGCCGGGAGGCCUGUCAUUCCGUGACGUGCUCAACAUCCUCCAGAACCUGCAAGGCGAUGUUGUCGCCGGAGAUGUGGUGGAGUUCAACCCGCAACGCGACACGGUCGACGGCAUGACGGCUAUGGUCGCCGCAAAGCUGGUCCGGGAGCUGAGCGCCAAGAUCUCAAAAUGA